AACGAACGCUGGCGGCGUGGAUUAGGCAUGCAAGUCGAACGAGAAAAGUUUCUUCGGAAGCUUAGUAAAGUGGCAAACGGGUGAGUAACGCGUGGGAAACUUACCUUUUAGUUGGGGAUAACACUUCUAACGAAGUGCUAAUACCGAAUAAGAUCUUUCCAUCGCAUGAUGGAUUGAUGAAAGAUGGCCUCUGUUUCAAGCUAUCGCUGAAAGAUGGUCCCGCGUCCCAUUAGCUUGUUGGUGAGGUAACGGCUCACCAAGGCUUCGAUGGGUAGCCGGCCUUAGCGGGUGACCGGCCACACUGGGACUGAGAUACGGCCCAGACUCCUACGGGAGGCAGCAGUCGAGAGGCAUCCACAAUGGGGGAAACCCUGAUGGUGCGACGCCGCGUGGGUGAUGAAGGUUUUCGGAUCGUAAAGCCCUUUCAGCAAGGACGAACGUGCCGGGUGUUAAUACCAUCCGGCAAAAGAC
RNAcentral lists this ribosomal RNA (471 nucleotides) under uncultured bacterium. RNAcentral describes it as "bacterial SSU rRNA". It matches the Rfam family "Bacterial small subunit ribosomal RNA", at positions 29 to 473 of the family's 1533-position model. The record is from RNAcentral.